UACAGAGGGGGCAAGCGUUGUUCGGAAUUACUGGGCGUAAAGGGCGCGUAGGCGGCCCUCUAAGUCGAACGUGAAAUCCCCGGGCUCAACCCGGGAACUGCGUCCGAGACUGGGGGGCUCGAAUCCGGGAGAGGGAUGUGGAAUUCCAGGUGUAGCGGUGAAAUGCGUAGAUAUCUGGAGGAACACCGGUGGCGAAGGCGGCAUCCUGGACCGGCACUGACGCUGAGGAGCGAAAGCCAGGGGAGCAAACGGGAUUAGAAACCCGUGU
RNAcentral lists this ribosomal RNA (268 nucleotides) under uncultured bacterium. RNAcentral describes it as "partial 16S ribosomal RNA". It matches the Rfam family "Bacterial small subunit ribosomal RNA", at positions 524 to 791 of the family's 1533-position model. The record is from RNAcentral.